AGUUUGAAUUAUCAUCAUUUGUUGUAUUUUUAGGUUAAACCUACUUACUUGGCCUAGUUUCAGCGUUAAAAACAAUUUAAAAUAAACACUCAAGCAGGACAAUAUCCACUUUGAUGAGUUUCAAGUGAGAAUUAGAGCAACAGAUUUUUAAAUGGCGUCGUUUUCUAGACUAAAUAAAAUAGCUUUGUUAGGCUUAGGCGCUGUAGGUGGUACUUUAGCUUAUUAUAAUAUUGGUAAAUCUGAGAAAAUAUUCCAUGUUCAAAAUUCAUGGACGACGAAUUUCACGCCGAGUGUGAAAUGGGAAAAAAACUGGGACCAUCGUGAACCCGAAUCAAUCGUUAAACCAGUUCGGUCAAGCAAGCCAGAAGAUGAAAACAGGUACAACGAGCAGAUUGAAAAAGCAAAGAGCAAAGCAGUGAGGCACUUGUUCCUUAUACGUCAUGGUCAGUAUAACAUAGAGGGAGCAACGGACAAGGAGAGAAUCUUAACAGAAUUGGGCAGACAGCAAGCAGAUCUAACUGGUCAAAGGCUGGCUAAUUUAGAUAUCAAGUGGGAUCUAUUGGUUCGAUCAACAAUGACCAGAGCUCAAGAGACAGCUUCCAUCAUAGCAAAACAUCUACCCAAAGAUAUAGAGGUUAAAGACUGCCAACUGAUCGAGGAAGGUGCUCCCAUUCCUCCUGAACCUCCAGUAGGGCACUGGAGACCUGAGCCAAAGCAGUUCUUCCAGGACAGCGCGCGCAUCGAGGCGGCGUUCCGGCGGUACUUCCACCGCGCGCCGCCCGAGCAGGCGCACGACUCCUACACGCUGCUCGUGUGCCACGCCAACGUCAUCCGGUUCUUCGUGUGCAAGGCGCUCCAGUUCCCGCCGGAGGGCUGGCUCCGGAUAUCGCUGAACCACGGCUCGAUAACGUGGCUGUCCAUCUUGCCGAACGGCAACGUCGUGCUGCGCGCGCUCAGCGACACGGGACACAUGGAGCCCAAGUACAUUACCAGCCGGUAAAUAGCAGGUGCUAUCUUAUAUAGAUAUUGUAUUCGUAUAUAUGUCAUGUAUGACUGUUGUAUGUAGUUGUAGCUCGGGUAUGAAAUAGCGAUGUAUUAAUGUUGCCCGUUCGAAUAUAUUCAUGUGACAGCUAACCCUCUAAGAAACUGGGUGUACGUCAGAAAGCCCCAUAUCUUGGUGUGUUCUGAAUUUUCGUAUACAAAUGUAUUUCGACGCGCAGAUAACGAAUAUGAUAUAGUGAUAUUUAUUCUGUGACAUUAUCUCAUUUACUAAAGAACUGGCUUGAUUGUCAGUUUUACACUCUUCCCGUUACUGACUUCCCGAGAGUGUCGAAACGACUGACUACACGAAAUGUAUUGAAAAAAUUGUUUCUCCAAAAUCAAUAUUUAUUACAAUGAACGUGAAAAAGCGUAAUUUUGUAUCAUCACCAUGAAAAUGAAAUUGCAAUUAUUUUGUAUUAUCAUACGUUUAUCAUAUCGUAAUAUAUAUAUGUCUAUACGAAAACUCAGAUCAAUCGAAGCUCAGGGGUUUUUAGAGGUUUACCGGAAACGUUGUGUAGUAAGGCUGCGGUCAAACUAUAUGGUACCCGGAAUCCAUAACUGCAAAUUAAGGCCGGAAUUAUAUCUAUUAGCAUCGAUUCGCAUUUAGCUAGGUGGUUUUGGAUGCACGUAGCAUCAAUUCAUACCCGCUAUAGCUUAAAUGUAACGUUGGUUGCUACUUAUUUAUAGUAAGGCUUUUUGUGCAAGCCUGUCUGGGUAUGUACCACCAAAGAACAUUACUUAGUAAUGUUGUGUUCAGGAUUGAAUUGAGCGAGUGUUGGUGACUCAUUGACGAUGAAGGGAAUUGCUGACAUUUGUUACAGCGCCAAUUUCUAUGGGCGAUGGUGACCACUUACCAUCAGGUGGUCCAUUUCCGUCUGCCUACCUAUUUUAUAUAAAAGAGUAAUAAUACGCAAUAUAAACAUGCGAAAGCUGAAUUCAUGCCAAAAAAAACUAUUGCGUACGCAUUUUCAUACAAAACGGCUAUUUUCGGUAAUAAAACGUGAAUCUAUGCAGAUUUUGUUUAUAUAUAGAAUAGGAAGGCGGACGAGCAUAUGGGCCACCUGAUGGUAAGUGGUCACCAACGUCCAUAGACAUUGGCAUUAUAAGAAAUGUUAACCAUAGCUUACAUCACCAAUGCGCCACCAACCUUGGGAACUAAAAUCUCCCCCGGCCUCUAAAAAUACACUGGCUCGCUCACCCUUCAAACCGGAACACAAAAAUAUCAAGUACUGCUGUUUUGCGGUAGAAUAUCUGAUGAGUAUGUGGUGGACCGACCAAAUAAAAACAACUCUUGGCGGUCCUUUGCAUGAAUGCACCAGGCUCACCACUAACAGGGACAUAUGGCGAAGGCGUGAGGCGAAUAACAUCUGCGCCGAAUAAUACAUAAUACUUCAUAGCGACCACGACCGCUCUGACAAGAGUGUCACGACGAAGAAGAAGAAUGUGGUACCCAGACGAGCUUGCACAGAGCCCUACCACCAGUAAAUAAAUAAAUAUAAUUCAAGCCCCAAUAUUAGUCAGAGUAUUAAAUUGCCACAUAUCACCUAACUAUUAUAAUUAUAUAAUAUAAAUAAUAACAUAUAAAUGAAUAUCCAUAUUAGAUCUUUAGCGAUAAAAACUAAGUCAAUUCCUGUGCCACUAAUAUAUUUAACGAUUUCCGCGUAAACACGUGAUUGAACGUCGUAUUGCUAUUUGGGGGAUAAUAUUGCUAUAAUAAUAAUAAUAAUAUCCGUGGACAUUUUUCACACACGGCCAUCUGAUCCCAAAUUAAGCUUGUACAGAGCUUGUGGUAUGGAAGCCAGACAACUGAUAUACUACAUAUACUACUUUUCUUUUGUAAAUACAUACUUAUAUAGAUUACACCCAGACUCAGAACAAACAGACAUGUUCAUGCACACAAAUGUCUGUCCUGGGUGGGAAUCGAACCCACGAAAAGGCAAGUAUCUACCAACCACGCCAACCGGCUCGUCAAAUUGCUAUCAUUUUAUUUAAUCUAUAUUAACGUGUACUGCUUAUUCGGCAUUCAUUUCUGCCCCAUUGGUCUUAUGAUAAUGCUACUAAUUCUGAGGUAAAAAUCCGGGCUAGCUUGAUUGUCAGUUUUACACUUUUGUCACAUCCUGCUGUACCACCACACUACAAUACUAAGGGAGGAAGUUCACACACUCAUACAAACACACAGACACACACACACCUGAUUGUAUCUCAUGUCUCGUGCGCCGAUCUAGUCUUGAUAUAUUAAAAUAAGCCACCGUGUUCGAAAUAAGUAAAUUCGUUUUUAACACUAUUGAAACAUAUACUAGUCUCUUUCAUGCAAACCAAUUUUUUAUUCAUUUAACAUAUAUCCGUCUCGUUUUCACCCUACUACCCUUCAUACCGCAACUUAUUGAGUCUUUCCACCAAUUAUAAUGUGGAUACUGUUAUUUAUUAUAUAUUAUAUUUAUUAUUAUUUUUUUCUUUAAUUGAAAACACGGUGAAAAAAGCCGAGAUGGCCCAGUGGUUAGAACGCGUGAAUCUUAACCGAUGAUCGUGGGUUCAAACCCGGGCAAGCACUGAAUUUUCAUGUGCUUAAUUUGUAAUUAUAAUUCAUCUCGUGCUUGACGGUGUAGGAAAACAUCGUGAGGAAACCUGCAUGCGUCUAAUUUCAUUGAAAUUAUGUCACAUAUGUAUUCUACCAACCCGCAUUGGAGCAGCGUGGUGGGAUAACCUCUAAACCUUCUCCCCAAAAAGGGAGAGGAGGCCUUAGCCCAGCAGUGGGACAUUAACAGGCUUGUACUGUUAUUAGCAAC
This is an RNA transcript of Nymphalis io (European peacock), 3827 nucleotides long. It is a transcript of the gene named serine/threonine-protein phosphatase Pgam5, mitochondrial, with no coding region annotated. The transcript has 6 exons. Lineage: Eukaryota; Metazoa; Arthropoda; Insecta; Lepidoptera; Nymphalidae. The record is from RefSeq and is a predicted model, not a curated record.